RNAcentral lists this ribosomal RNA (490 nucleotides) under uncultured bacterium. RNAcentral's name for it is "partial 16S ribosomal RNA". It matches the Rfam family "Bacterial small subunit ribosomal RNA", at positions 30 to 507 of the family's 1533-position model. The record is from RNAcentral.
AUUGAACGCUGGCGGCAUGCCUUACACAUGCAAGUCGAACGGCAGCAUGAUCUAGCUUGCUAGAUUGAUGGCGAGUGGCGCACGGGUGAGUAAUACAUCGGAACGUGCCCUGUAGUGGGGGAUAACUAGUCGAAAGAUUAGCUAAUACCGCAUACGACCUGAGGGUGAAAGUGGGGGACCGCAAGGCCUCAUGCUCUAGGAGCGGCCGAUGUCUGAUUAGCUAGUUGGUGGGGUAAAGGCUCACCAAGGCGACGAUCAGUAGCUGGUCUGAGAGGACGAUCAGCCACACUGGGACUGAGACACGGCCCAGACUCCUACGGGAGGCAGCAGUGGGGAAUUUUGGACAAUGGGCGAAAGCCUGAUCCAGCAAUGCCGCGUGUGUGAAGAAGGCCUUCGGGUUGUAAAGCACUUUUGUCCGGAAAGAAAUGGCUCUGGUUAAUACCUGGGGUCGAUGACGGUACCGGAAGAAUAAGGACCGGCUAACUACGUG